Long non-coding RNA from Ctenopharyngodon idella (grass carp), 232 nucleotides. RefSeq lists it as uncharacterized. The record is from RefSeq and is a predicted model, not a curated record. The transcript is spliced from 3 exons. Lineage: Eukaryota; Metazoa; Chordata; Actinopteri; Cypriniformes; Xenocyprididae.
CAAGCCUGUAGCACUCGUCUCAGACCAGUCUCUUUUGUAGAGAGGGAUGAGUUUGGGCAUCUUGUGCCAAAACGGAGAAGGCCAAAACUUACCAAGGCAAACAUCUCCAAAGCUACAACGAUUAACAGUCCAGCUAUGUCAUCAUCUUUGGAGUCUGGGCAAGUAGACAUUGAUCAUGGUGAAAUUCCAUCACUGCCUUCUCACACUGUAUGGCCAGCAGUUGAAGAUAUAG